Non-coding RNA from Triticum aestivum (bread wheat), 115 nucleotides. The record is from Rfam. NCBI's taxonomy places the organism in Eukaryota, Viridiplantae, Streptophyta, Magnoliopsida, Poales, Poaceae.
AACAUACUCCCUCCGUUCGGAAUUACUCGUCCACCAAAUGGAUGUAUCUAGAUGUAUUUUAGUUGUAUAUACAUCCAUUUUUGUGACAAGUAAUUCUGAACGGAGGGAGUACCUC